Saccostrea echinata is the source of this 2929-nucleotide long non-coding RNA. RefSeq lists it as uncharacterized. The transcript is spliced from 3 exons. NCBI's taxonomy places the organism in Eukaryota, Metazoa, Mollusca, Bivalvia, Ostreida, Ostreidae. The record is from RefSeq and is a predicted model, not a curated record.
AUUUUGGAUGAGAAAUUAUUAAUGUUCAUGGCUACUCAGAACACGGCAAGGAGAAGUUUAUAUGUUAUGAACAUUUCUUAUCAACAAUACCUUUAAGAAGGACCUCUGUUCUACAGCUUGUGGUGGAUCAUAGAACACAUGAUAUCAACCAAGUUUAAAGGAAGCAUAUAUAGCCACAAUAGAAAGAUUUAAGGAUUGUGAGAAACCAAAUAUGACACAUCAGAGUAAAGUCCAUGGGAGUGUGAAAAAAAAGAAUAGUAGAGUGUAAUCCUCAGGACUUUUUUCAGACUUCCACAAAGUCAGGAAAAUACUGUUGGACUCAUGAUUGAGUGAGUGACAAAAUUAACAAAAAUCAUGAUUCUCAGAAAUUCAAGGAAGAUGUGCGAGUUAAGACUAAAACGGGUUUUAGGAGUUUUGAUGACAAAGAAUCAACCAUUGGAAAUAUGGUUAUAUGAACUUGGAUCUAACUAUUGAUGCAUGCAUGAUGGUGGGCUGAAGAAGAAAACCAUGACUAAAGAAAAUUCCUAGUGUUCACCAGAAAAAAUAAUCAUGCAGCCAUUUUGAGUGCUUGAAUACCCAACUGAGAAAGCCAGCCAGUGUGAAAAAUAUUUCUUGGAAGUUAAACAAAAUCUGCUGUGACAAUUGAAUUAAAGCUUUAAAAGUACAUUUAAAAACAUUCUGAUUCGUCUAUAAGUGAGACUAGAUUGCCUUUGACAGUUGCCAGUGGAAUUUAGAUCUUCUAAAUUGUACCAGUAUUUAUAAAUUGAAGUGAUUUGCCUUAAAAUUACAUUUGUAUAUGGUGUACAUUACUUCAGGGAGAUAUAACACACCUGUUUAAACAGUGAGGUCCAUAGCUAAAUGUGGAUAUGGAAUUUAGCUCACCUGAUCCAAAGGCUCAAUGGCACAAUUCUAAUAAAAAGAAGUCUCUGGUAUCCAACAAUGCAACAUUUAUAUGUUUGACUGUUUGUCUUCCAUUAACUUUUAACAUUUUCUUUUUUUUUUUCUAACAUUUAGUCAGUGUAAACCACAUUUGGUACAACGUUAAAUAAUCUCUGCUUAAAAGGAAUAAAGCUUAUUUAAAUAAAGGUGCUGAAUCCUUUUUCAAGGGGAGAUAAUGAAGAAAUAUGAAAAAUGGGAUAAUGUCAUUAAAAAACUUUCAUUUUAAGGUAUUCAAUGUAUAAUGAAGGAAUAUUGAGCAAUUUUGAAUCAUUUUAAACUAGUUAAAUAUGUAUUGCUAGAUAAUUAUGAAAGUAAAAUGAACCAAAUUCACACGACUGAUAUCAUGUUAGAAACUGACCAUUUUGCACUGUAAACAUUUUCAAGAGUUAUCUGCCCUUGAUGCAAAGAAGAAAAUUUAAAAUUUGUCAAUAUAUCUGUGGUAGAUGACUUAUUUUAUUUCAUAUUUUAAUAAAGAGAGAGUUUAUGCAUAUUUUCACAAGAGAUUUGUAUGAAGUUCAAAUUACCUUUUAGAAUAUCUAAACAAAACAUGUGCUGCCCAUAGACCUCAGUGUAAAAUUCAAGGUGCAAUUAAUUGGACAAUAAGCAAAAUUUUGUAAAUUCCUUUGGUGGUGUACUUUUAUUUGAAAACAUCUUCAAAAUGCUAACUUGAUUAAAAACACUGGACAACUCAUUUAUUAGGUACAGAAUAUGGUCAUUAUACAUUGAAUACCUUAAGAACAACUUGGUCAUAUAAGACAAAUGUAACAGUUAUCCAAGAGUUUUCUUCAUGAGCAUAGAUUCAAGUUUUUUCAUUGCCCGUAAGGCGAGGAUAGAGCUGCACAGGGGUUAAAAGUUUUGCAUGAAAAUAUGUAUAAGUGAAAAACUAGCAGGGUGACAUAAAGCAAAUUCAUAUGCCAACAUUACAACAUCAUUAUGAUAGAGAUUUAAUUUUGUUCAAAUUAUAAACAUUAGGGUUCGGUAAGGGUUAAAAGUAGGGGUUUCAUUUUGCAUGUAUCUAUGUGUCAGUAUUUAAUUUUGUUUAAAUUAUGGACAUUGGGAUUAGAAAAAGACUAAAAUUAGGGUUAAAAUUUUACAUGUAUAUAGGUGUCAACAUUUUUCAUGGGAAUAUGGAGGGGAAAAAUCUUUAAAAACAAUCUUUUUAAGAGCAAUAGACACAAUAUGACUCAGGCAAGCAUUCUGGCUUUUGGCAUCUUCAGUGUAUUAGAUUUCAUUCUUAUGAUUUUAGGAACUUAAAAGUACACCCUAUUCUGAAGACACACAGCGAAGUUUAUUUUUUUUAAAAAUAAUAAAUGGUUUUAAUGGAAAAAGAUGAAUUAAGCCUAUAGUCAUAAAGGUCCAGUUUUCCUUUUGAAGCCUUUAUAUCGGGUUUACCUAUUUAAGAAGAAAUUUGCAUUAAUUGUGUACUUGGUUGUACAUGGCACACAUCUAUAUCUAUGUAACAGUAUAUUAUAUGCAAAUAUUGUUCAGAAUUAGUUGACUUAUUAAUGAAAUUAUUUGUUAAGGACAUACGCAACGUACCUUUCCUACUGAUAAGUUUUUGAGAUAUUCUUAAUUUAAGAUUAUAGUGCAAUCAGAUGUUCGUAAGCAAAAAAUCAGCAUACAUUACCAGGGGUAUUGAAAAGAUAUCAAUUGAUGAAAAUUCUUGUAUAAUUCAAAGAAAAACAUACAAAUAUUCUAGAUGUUUUGUUUAUCCAAACUUGUUUUAGAAGAAGUGUACAAUAGCAUAUAUAGACAUUAAAAUGAAGCACAUAGUUCCUUUAAGUAUUGGAACUCUUCAACUCCAGGGAAAAAGACAAACUACGUUGCGUAUGUCCUUAAGAUUAAAGUGGGCCUUCUGGUCAGGUGGGUUUUUUUAUUUUGCAAUUACUUUUCAUCAUUUUUUUUUAAAUCAAAUUUGAAAAUAUGUAAAGAGAUGGGCUUUAUUCACUAUUUAUAUUUCAAAUCUCAGUCUAUUUUAUUAUUUGAUCUA